RNAcentral lists this transfer RNA (83 nucleotides) under Candidatus Roizmanbacteria bacterium CG_4_9_14_0_2_um_filter_38_17. RNAcentral describes it as "tRNA-Leu". It matches the Rfam family "tRNA". From Rfam's summary of the family: Transfer RNA (tRNA) molecules are approximately 80 nucleotides in length. Their secondary structure includes four short double-helical elements and three loops (D, anti-codon, and T loops). Further hydrogen bonds mediate the characteristic L-shaped molecular structure. tRNAs have two regions of fundamental functional importance: the anti-codon, which is responsible for specific mRNA codon recognition, and the 3' end, to which the tRNAs corresponding amino acid is attached (by aminoacyl-tRNA synthetases). tRNAs cope with the degeneracy of the genetic code in two manners: having more than one tRNA (with a specific anti-codon) for a particular amino acid; and 'wobble' base-pairing, i.e. permitting non-standard base-pairing at the 3rd anti-codon position. Lineage: Bacteria; Candidatus Roizmaniibacteriota. RNAcentral also lists the same sequence under 1 other name. The record is from RNAcentral.
GCCAGAGUGGCGAAACGGUAGACGCGCUACGUUCAGGGCGUAGUGAGAGCAAUCUCGUGGAGGUUCAAAUCCUCUCUCUGGCA